This 72-nucleotide transfer RNA is filed under the name Sugiyamaella lignohabitans. RNAcentral's name for it is "Candida lignohabitans tRNA". It matches the Rfam family "tRNA". Rfam says of the family: Transfer RNA (tRNA) molecules are approximately 80 nucleotides in length. Their secondary structure includes four short double-helical elements and three loops (D, anti-codon, and T loops). Further hydrogen bonds mediate the characteristic L-shaped molecular structure. tRNAs have two regions of fundamental functional importance: the anti-codon, which is responsible for specific mRNA codon recognition, and the 3' end, to which the tRNAs corresponding amino acid is attached (by aminoacyl-tRNA synthetases). tRNAs cope with the degeneracy of the genetic code in two manners: having more than one tRNA (with a specific anti-codon) for a particular amino acid; and 'wobble' base-pairing, i.e. permitting non-standard base-pairing at the 3rd anti-codon position. The record is from Rfam by way of RNAcentral. Lineage: Eukaryota; Fungi; Ascomycota; Dipodascomycetes; Dipodascales; Trichomonascaceae.
GUGGUUAUAGUUUAAGUGGUAAAACUGGUGUUUGUGGUACACCUAAUUAGAGUUCAAGUCUCUAUUAUCACC